This 229-nucleotide ribosomal RNA is filed under the name uncultured bacterium. RNAcentral describes it as "partial 16S ribosomal RNA". It matches the Rfam family "Bacterial small subunit ribosomal RNA", at positions 104 to 334 of the family's 1533-position model. The record is from RNAcentral.
CGGGGUGAGUAAUGUAUGGGGAUCUGCCUGAUGGCGGGGGAUAACUACUGGAAACGGUAGCUAAUACCGCAUAACGUCGCAAGACCAAAGAGGGGGACCUUCGGGCCUCUUGCCAUCGGAUGUGCCCAGAUGGGAUUAGCUAGUAGGUGGGGUAACGGCUCACCUAGGCGAUGAUCCCUAGCUGGUCUGAGAGGAUGACCAGCCACACUGGAACUGAGACACGGUCCAG